ACGGAAGGCAGCAGUGGGGGGUAUUGCACAAUGGGGGAAACCCUGAUGCAGCGACGCCGCGUGAGUGAAGAAGUAUUUCGGUAUGUAAAGCUCUAUCAGCAGGGAAGAAAAUGACGGUACCUGACUAAGAAGCUCCGGCUAAAUACGUGCCAGCAGCCGCGGUAAUACGUCUGGAGCAAGCGUUAUCCGGAUUUACUGGGUGUAAAGGGAGCGUAGACGGCGAGGCAAGUCUGAUGGGAAAGCCAUGGGCUCAACCCAUGAACUGCAUUGGAAACUGUCUUGCUAGAGUGUCGGAGAGGUAAGCGGAAUUCCUAGUGUAGCGGUGAAAUGCGUAGAUAUUAGGAGGAACACCAGUGGCGAAGGCGGCUUACUGGACGAUAACUGACGUUGAGGCUCGAAAGCGUGGGGAGCAAACAGGAUUAGAUACCCUGGUA
RNAcentral lists this ribosomal RNA (434 nucleotides) under uncultured bacterium. RNAcentral's name for it is "partial 16S ribosomal RNA". It matches the Rfam family "Bacterial small subunit ribosomal RNA", at positions 341 to 792 of the family's 1533-position model. The record is from RNAcentral.